GACGAACGCUGGCGGCGUGCUUAACACAUGCAAGUCGAACGGGCCUUGUCCCCUUUUUUUUUGGGGGUGGGGUUAGUGGCGAACGGGUGAGUAACACGUGAGUAACCUGCCCCUCACUUCUGGAUAACCGCUUGAAAGGGUGGCUAAUACGGGGUGUUCUGGCCUGCUCGCAUGGGUGGGUUUGGAAAGAUUCGACCGGUUUUGGUUGUUUUGGUGGGGGAUGGGCUCGCGGCCCAUCAGCUUGUUGGUGGGGUGAUGGCCUGCCAAGGCUUUGACGGGUAGCCGGCCUGGGAGGGUGGGCGGUCACACUGGGACUGAGACACGGCCCAGACUCCUACGGGAGGCAGCAGUGGGGAAUAUUGCACAAUGGGCGCAAGCCUGAUGCAGCGACGCCGCGUGAGGGAUGGAGGCCUUCGGGUUGUGAACCUCUUUCGCCAGUGAAGAAGGUCCUGCUCUUUGUGGUGGGGUUGACGGUAGCUGGGUUAAUGAAGCGCCGGCUAACUACGUG
This 508-nucleotide ribosomal RNA is filed under the name uncultured bacterium. Its description in RNAcentral is "partial 16S ribosomal RNA". It matches the Rfam family "Bacterial small subunit ribosomal RNA", at positions 28 to 507 of the family's 1533-position model. The record is from RNAcentral.